AUUGAACGCUGGCGGCAGGCCUAACACAUGCGAGUCGAGCGGAUGAAGGGAGCUUGCUCCUGGAUUCAGCGGCGGACGGGUGAGUAAUGCCUAGGAAUCUGCCUGGUAGUGGGGGAUAACGUCCGGAAACGGGCGCUAAUACCGCAUACGUCCUGAGGGAGAAAGUGGGGGAUCUUCGGACCUCACGCUAUCAGAUGAGCCUAGGUCGGAUUAGCUAGUUGGUGGGGUAAAGGCCUACCAAGGCGACGAUCCGUAACUGGUCUGAGAGGAUGAUCAGUCACACUGGAACUGGGACACGGUCCAGACUCCUACGGGAGGCAGCAGUGGGGAAUAUUGGACAAUGGGCGAAAGCCUGAUCCAGCCAUGCCGCGUGUGUGAAGAAGGUCUUCGGACUGUAAAGCACUUUAAGUUGGGAGGAAGGGCAGUAAGUUAAUACCUUGCUGUUUUGACGUUACCAACAGAAUAAGCACCGGCUAACUUCGUG
Molecule: ribosomal RNA, 484 nt
Filed under: uncultured bacterium
Lineage: Bacteria
Description: partial 16S ribosomal RNA
Rfam family: Bacterial small subunit ribosomal RNA
Source: RNAcentral